Long non-coding RNA from Ailuropoda melanoleuca (giant panda), 6418 nucleotides. RefSeq lists it as uncharacterized. NCBI's taxonomy places the organism in Eukaryota, Metazoa, Chordata, Mammalia, Carnivora, Ursidae. The transcript has 2 exons. The record is from RefSeq and is a predicted model, not a curated record.
GCGUGGCUUUGGUCGAUGACACCUGCCCUCGCAGCUGUGAGAGGACACGUCUCUGCGGUCGUAACCACCAAGCCGCUAAUCAGCGUUCACUCCACGGCCGUGCGGGGUCAACUGUCCUUUGAUGGCUCACACAGAUUCUGCCUCUGGGGCCAUGUGUCCCCGGAUUGGGCCGUGGGGGCCAGGGCUGUUGUGAGGCAGGUUGGAUGUGCUGGGCGGUGGCAGGACCUUCAUUUGGGUGGGGAGGCCUGUGCUUCCUGGUCACAGCCUGGAGAGGGGCGUGCAGACCCAGCCUGGAGGACACUGUUGGAGAAGCAGCAUGUUUUCCGAAGACGCUGGAAGCCUGUAAGGCUGUCGGCUCCACUGGGGGUGUCCACUGUGCGUCAGGAGCAGGCUCUCGGUGGUGUUCCUACGAGCCAGGUUGAGAGAAACAGCCGGAAGAACGGCCUCCACGUCCCGGGGCGUAGAGUCGCGUGACCGUCUGAAGGUACGUGCCUGCUGUUCGGGGCCUUGGUGUCGGUACGGCAGGAUCCCCCCAGCACCCCAGGGCCAGGCGAGGGUCUGAAAGGAGCAGCCUGGGGGCAGUAGGGGUCACACGCAGGACACACGUGCCCCUCCCUGGGAGGUGCGCCCAAGCACAGACCGUGGUCUCGUGCUGGGCUGGUCCUGGUCGGUGAGACAGGACACACACCACUGAUGCUCAGGGUGGGAGAAGGGCGGUCGCCACGCACAACUGACACGGGUUAGAAAAACCCACAGUCUGGGGUUUGAGGAGGAAGUGUCAGACACCAGCGACGGCCUCAGAAACCAGCGUCUGGAACCCUGAGGGUGUGGGCCUGGAUGAGGGAGUGCAGUACGGCCUGUGUCCCGGGAAGGGUGCCCUCCUGAAGUGCCCUGGGCGCAGAGCUGGCCCUGGAGCUGACAGCCUUUAGCUCUGACCGCAGGAGAUAGAGGCAGAGGACGGGGGACACGGUGGCCAGCCUGGCGCUCUCCAAAUCCCCCUGUGUCUGUAGGGCAGGAGACCCCAUUGUCUUCACCCGCGGGCUUGAGUGGGGGAGGGCGGGAGGCUGAGGCCCUUUGUGGUGGUCCCCCCCGCCCCGCCCCUUCCAGCUCUCUGUGCUGAAGCUGAACCCUGGGGUGGCCGGCACUUGGGUCUGUGCUGGAUGCUCGAGCCCCUGCACCUGUGCGCACAGUGGGUCGGAGGCACCUGGGACUCGGGCCCCCAGGGGAGCUCCUGUAACGUGCCUGCUGUGGGCGCUGGCCCCCGGGGUGUUCUGGCGCUGCCCUGGGCCUGAGUCCUGGCGGGCUGGCACUAUGCACUUUCCACCCACAUCCGGUGGUCUUGUCAUGCGUGGCUGUAUCAGUCAAGUCAGGGAUGGAGGACGUCUGUCAUGCCUCUGCGCUGGCACGAGGUAGCUGUUCUGCGGUGGGGUGGGGGUGCUGGGGGUUAAGGAGCAGGCGUCCGCAGGGGGCAGAGGCGUGAUGUCCCCGCUGGGCCGUCCUCCGUCCCCAGGCAGAGUGUGCUGGGCACUGAGGGCCCGUCUACUUACCUCACCCAGACCCUGAUGCCAGGAAGGUUCCAGCCCUUUCUGUCUGGGGUGGAACGCUCUAGAAACCCCCAGCCUUUGCUCUGGUUGAGCCGUGUUGGCAACAGGACCAGAGCAUCCCAUCAGGAACAUCACGGCCUCUUCUUGGGAUGAGCGACUGUGUCAAAUGCAUGGCCCACCGGCCAAGCAAGCCUGUCCUCUGCCAGGCCCCAUCGCUCGGGCCAUGCCUUGGCUGGGGCCAGCCAGCUUUAUCUGGGAAGUGGGGGUCACGUGCAUGGCCACUCUGACUCAGGACAGGCUGUGCCGGCCCGUGGCGGUCACAGCAACAGCCAGGUAGGCAGGUUUGAGGAGCGGCAGGCUCCAGGGUCGGGUUGAGGAGGGCACGGCACACGGCCUCGGUCUCCAGAGGGUCAACGGACCUGACCGCUGUGGAGACGUUCCAGCUUCCGCCGUUCAGCGUGGGCAGUCAGACCCACAUCUGCAGCCAAGAGCCAGGGGACGCGGUGUGACAGUGGGCGCUGAGUGUGAGCCGGCAGUUUAAUUAGCUGCUUGGUCUAAACCCCGGUGCCCGAUUCAGUGGCUGACAGAACUUUUGGUUGAAGCUCUUCCAAAGGGAGGGAGAGAGCAAUUCGUUUUGAAGGGCUCUGUGGAAUGCUCGCACACCAAGGGAACAUUCUAGAGAGAACACGACUCAUCCAAGCCUUCCCAAGGCAAGGGCUGAAACCACAGACAUGCAUUUUGGAAGGUUUAUGCAUUUUACUUUUUGUGUUUAUGUGGACAAACGUGACAGCAGGCAGGAGGGUAAGACAGACCCCAGUAAAGUGAGUUUGUUUUAGGGUUUUAAAUCCCUUUCUGCGGCAAGGAGCGUUGUGAACGGAGCACGUGACAGAGGCCCGAGCGUGUGUUAUUGUCACUGGUUAGGUGAGACUCAGACACCCGGCCUCACCUCUGAGGACAAGCAUGAGUGUUCUCCAGGUCCCUGAGCUGUGCGCGCACCGCGUCUGGAUUUCCUCACGUUGCCGCCCCGUGUGUACCUCCCUGGACACAGAGAUUCCGUCAGGGGCUCUGGCUCCUCAUCAGAACAACGCUGCUGUCCAACGGCCGCGGGGGCUGCGCGUGCAGAACCGGGCUUCUAUGGGCCUCUCUGCGAGGAUCAGAAAGACAGCAAGCCCAAAGCGCGGAGGCCGAGGGCUGCUCCCUGGGGUCUGCCCUCUCGCGUCCCUGGUCUCCCAAGACAGAAGGGCUCCCUUGGCCCCAGAAGCACCUCAGUUUCCUGCUUCAGAUAGUAGAGUCGGGGUCGGGGGAGGGUGGUCAGGGCACCCCUCUCCCUCGGGUGGCAUCUGGGGGAGCCGGCUAGGAAGGAGAGUUAGGUCAUCCUGUUCCCAUUCAUUGGCAAAGUGUGUAAGAUAGGUGGAAGUGUGCACUGUCGGAUGACCCGGGAAACGGAGACAAGGUGUGUACGCGAGUGCCCGUGGUGGCUCUGUCCACAGGAGCCUCACUGUGGGGACAACGUCCAUGGCAGCUGGACGAUCCCGACUGGCUACAGCCGUGCAGUGGGAUACGACUCAGCAAUGAGAAGGGAUGUCUGGCAACUGGGAGAACCCCAGAAGCAGCUGGCCUGCAGCAGGAGCCAGCCCAGAGCUGCUCCCUGACCCCCACGUGCGAAGCUGGAGAGGGCGCCCCAUCUGGAGCGGCAGAGCGCCUCAGGGCUUGUCGGCAGCCUGUUGUCUCACCAGCUGUGUGCGGGCGUUUUCUCAGUCCUGCCCUGCCCCAGACGGAGGCUUCCUGAGGCUGGGCAGACACUCGUGACGUCGGGGACACCCCCUGAGCUCCCCUGCAGGUGAGCCUGCGUCCCUGCUGCCCUGCCUCCAGCCGUCCCCGGAGUCCGCGGGGCUGGAGCGCAAUGUGCCUUGUCCCUCCUCCCGUGGCCAGACGAUGCUGAGAUGUGCUAGUCCGAGGGGCUGCAGGACGGUCCUGUAGUCCCCCUCCCCACUUAUGGGCGCUAAUUUCCCUCCUGCUUCCCGGGACCUGGGGGGUCCCCUAUCAGGCAGCCCCCCCUCCGCGUCUGCUGCGAGGAGCACCGAGGCUUAUGGUGAUGUAAGUUACAUCGUCUGAGCUCCACAGGGCACUGUGUGCGUUUAUGCUGCUCAAGGGCCCAGAGCCAACGUGCACAGAGGGGAAAACAGCUCAACUGGGAGCAGCCAGGGUGGGUGCACCCAGGCAUGGACGGACGACUGGAUGAGCGAAGCGUGUCUGUCCACGCAGUGGACUAGUCCUCAGCCUCAGAAAGGAAGGGCGCUCUGACCCCUGCUACCACGUGGAUGAACCCGGAGGACAUUGCGUUCAGGGGAAUGAGACAAAUACCGCUCUGAUAGGAGGGCCCCGGAGGAGUCCAGCUCGUGGAGGCUGAGCGUCGACGGUGGGCGCCAGGGCUGGCGGCUGGGGCGGGGUUCAGCUGGGGAAGAUGCGGAAGUUUGGGACGCGGACCGUGGGGACGGUCGCACCCCCGUGUGAGGGCGCUGAGUGCCGCGGAGCCGUGCACUUGAACGCAGGGAGGACGAUAAAGUUUAUGCUGUGUGUAUGUUACCACAAUUAAUAAAACAAAUGAUUUUUUAAAGGGGGGAGGAAAAGUCAGGGUCCUGUUUACGGGUCUGUUUCACAGCCCAGACAAGUCUCACGGGCGGAAAGUCGACGUGGAUUUAAGUAACUCACAGUCGCAGUUUAUUAGGAGAGGGAGGAAGGUACUUCAGGUUUGGCCCCUGGAGAGGAUUUCGAGGGAAGCUGAGCUCGGGGACCCAAUCGCAGGGCCACCUUGUCCGCGGGCGAGACACAGGACGCCUGGGGCCGGCAGCAGCUCACGCCUGCUGGGGUAGGAGGUGUUCCUGUCCUACGGAAACCCACAGAUGGAUGUGGGGGGGCGCUCGGGCGCUGGCGGACCCCCUAGGCUCCCGUGCGCAGGGGAGCCCCGCCCCCUCUUGCGUUCUUCAUGUGGCGCCCUUAUCUUCGGGGGAAUUUUGUUAAUCAUCCCAAGAACUGCUAAUUGUUCUGAAAGAGGGACCGCGAGUGUCAGUGCUGGUCGGGCGCGUCUGGACAAGCGCGGGCGCCGCCCCUCCCUGCGUCUGCCCCCCCCCCCCCGUUCAUGGAGUCGCUGCGUGCUGGGUGUGUGUGUGGGGGGUCUGUCUACCCUCCCCCGGUCCUGCUGGGUGUGUGUGUGGGGGGGGUCUGUCCACCCCCACCCCGGUCCUGCUGGGUGUGUGUGUGUGGGGGGGUCUGUCCACCCUCCCCCGGUCCUGCUGGGUGUGUGGGGUCUGUCUACCCUCCCCCGGUCCUGCUGGGUGUGUGUGUGGGGGGGGUCUGUCCACCCCCACCCCCCGGUCCUGCUGGGUGUGUGUGUGGGGGGGUCUGUCCACCCCCACCCCGGUCCUGCUGGGUGUGUGGGGUCUGUCCACCCCCCCGGUCCUGCUGGGCAGGGUCAGCUCCCCUACUCAGCUCCGGCUCACAGGCGCAUGUGCUUGGCAUUUGAGGGGGGUGCACCCAGCUUCAUCACAGACCCUGAGCCCCUCUGGAGAGCAGAGUCUCUGCCAGGCGACCCCUGACGGCCACCUGGACACAACCAGCUCUCCAACCGUGAAUCACCAGGCAGGGAUUUUUAAAAGCUCCCCGCAUGGCUCAGGAGCAGAGCCAGAGUUUGGGGAAGGACAGCAGACGCCGUGGGACCACAGUGAGCCCUGGACCUCCCAGCUCGGCGCAGAGCCUCAGGUGGGGAGAACAUGUGUCCUGAGGACAGGGACAAAAUGGAGCUGCCAGGCCACAGCUGGGCCAGCGCUCCAGGCCACCUCCCCGCUCCAGCCAAGGUGGGGUGGGUGGUAAGUCCGGGGCCUUCGGGACACAUUGGCUGGCUUAGGCCCCUGGGGACGCAGGGAUUACAGCCGCAGGGUCACUGGCCGGUCACUAGCUGCUUGGUCACAGGACAGUCCCGGUUCUGCACUGGGGUCUUGACUUCUUCUCUCUUCGUCCUCACGAAGUUUGGGGUUUUAGUUUCUUGAAUUUUUUUAAAGAUUUAUUUAUUUAUUUGAGAAAGAGAGCUCGAGAGAACCGGGGGAGGGGCGGCAGGAGAGGGGGAAUCUCAAGCAGACACCACGCUGAGUGCAGAGCCCCAUGUGGGGCUCGAUCCCUCGACCCCAAGACCACGACCUGAGCCGAAGCCAAGAGUCAGACAAUGAACGGACAGUGCCUCCCAGGCGCCCCCGGAGCUUCAGCGUCCCCACAAUUUUACCGCACGCGCCCCCUGGCUGUCCGCCAGCUCCUCCAGGGACGGACUGGGACACUGUCCACGGCUGGGUCAGCCUCCGGCAAAGUGGGAUCUGCCACCAUCGGCAGGCGGUUGGUCCUCGUCGCGUCGGGGACCCACCUGGGCUGCUCAGAACACCCCGGACGCGGUGCCGGGCCGGCCGAGGGAUCCAGGACCAGCUGCUGCCGCUUCCCAGCGGGCAGCACGUUCCCGCCACAAAUGCCUUAACCACGUGGGAAACGCUUUCUCCGUGAAAUCUUGGCAGGAGGAGAGGAGGAGGCCGCCAUGGAAGGCUUCCCCCAGACGACUCUCCAGGGGCUGCGGCUUAUGACAGCCUUGUCACCCGCCUCUCAAGUCUGGAUUUUCUGGCCGAGGGCUAGGGACGCGCUGGGCUGGCCUCUCUGAGCCCUUGCUGGGUUUUCUCUGGAAGCGCCGAUUUCUCUCCUUUGCUUUGUAUUUCUUUUCUUUGGGUAAAAACUUAAAAUACCACUGAAAAUAUGAAGCUAGUAAAAAGUGAGAACAAAAUAUUUUAAGGACAGUUAAACCAAGGGAAAAUAAAUAAAAUAUUCAACAAUUUCCCGAA